CGAAGAGUUGUUUUGUUUGGGUUUUCAGAAUUAUAAAUAAAAAUGCAAGUAAUUUAAACGAUUAAACUUAUGAAUUAAAGACAUUGGGCAUUAGGGUAUUUCAGAGAUCAACGAAUAAUGGAAACAUGAGACAAGGAAUUCAAUGAUUAAGCACCGUUCUUGAACAUGAACACAUUUAGACUAAUUCUCUUUCAAGACAUUAAUCACUAAAUUUGACUACUCGAUUACUAAACUUUCGCAUGUAAUUUCCUAGU
Molecule: long non-coding RNA, 254 nt
Filed under: Arabidopsis lyrata
Lineage: Eukaryota; Viridiplantae; Streptophyta; Magnoliopsida; Brassicales; Brassicaceae
Description: long non-coding RNA (ALYR_LNC003155)
Source: RNAcentral